UACGUAGGGGGCAAGCGUUAUCCGGAUUUACUGGGUGUAAAGGGAGCGUAGACGGCAGAGCAAGUCUGAAGUGAAAGCCCGCGGCCCAACUGCGGGACUGCUUUGGAGACUGCCCGGCUAGAGUGCUGGAGAGGUAAGCGGAAUUCCUAGUGUAGCGGUGAAAUGCGUAGAUAUUAGGAGGAACACCAGUGGCGAAGGCGGCUUACUGGACAGUAACUGACGUUGAGGCUCGAAAGCGUGGGGAGCAAACAGG
This 253-nucleotide ribosomal RNA is filed under the name uncultured bacterium. RNAcentral's name for it is "partial 16S ribosomal RNA". It matches the Rfam family "Bacterial small subunit ribosomal RNA", at positions 524 to 776 of the family's 1533-position model. The record is from RNAcentral.